UACGAGGGGGGCAAGCGUUGUUCGGAAUUAUUGGGCGUAAAGGGUGCGUAGGCGGUCUGAUAAGUCAUCUGUGAAAUCUAUGGGCUCAACCCAUAGUCUGCAGGCGAAACUGUCGGGCUUGAGUAUGGGAGAGGUGAGUGGAAUUUCCGGUGUAGCGGUGAAAUGCGUAGAUAUCGGAAGGAACACCUGUGGCGAAAGCGGCUCACUGGACCAUUACUGACGCUGAGGAGCGAAAGCGUGGGGAGCGAACAGG
This 253-nucleotide ribosomal RNA is filed under the name uncultured bacterium. RNAcentral describes it as "partial 16S ribosomal RNA". It matches the Rfam family "Bacterial small subunit ribosomal RNA", at positions 524 to 776 of the family's 1533-position model. The record is from RNAcentral.